CACCAAGGUUGGAUUCGAACUCACGUCUGCCUCAAUCGCAAUGCAGCGCCUAUCCACUGCGCCACCUUCGU
This is a non-coding RNA of Ostertagia ostertagi, 71 nucleotides long. The record is from the annotation of a GenBank genome assembly. NCBI's taxonomy places the organism in Eukaryota, Metazoa, Nematoda, Chromadorea, Rhabditida, Trichostrongylidae.